This 209-nucleotide ribosomal RNA is filed under the name uncultured eukaryote. RNAcentral describes it as "partial 18S ribosomal RNA". It matches the Rfam family "Eukaryotic small subunit ribosomal RNA", at positions 604 to 819 of the family's 1831-position model. The record is from RNAcentral.
UUAAAGUUGUUGCAGUUAAAAAGCUCGUAGUUGAACCUUGGGCCUGGCUGGUCGGUCCGCCUCACCGCGUGCACUGGUCCGGCCGGGCCUUUCCUCCUGGGGAGCCGCAUGCCCUUCAUUGGGUGUGUCGGGGAACCAGGACUUUUACUUUGAAAAAAUUAGAGUGUUCAAAGCAGGCCUAUGCUCGAAUACAUUAGCAUGGAAUAAUA